Molecule: long non-coding RNA, 120 nt
Filed under: Bos indicus x Bos taurus (hybrid cattle)
Lineage: Eukaryota; Metazoa; Chordata; Mammalia; Artiodactyla; Bovidae
Description: lncRNA (ENSBIXG00000023731.1)
Source: RNAcentral
UAGAACAGCAUGGCAGAAGCUGAGUUCUCCUGCGAGAUGGAAAUGAAAGCAUGGAGAAGGGAAGCCAAGUCCAGGCCAGUGUGAGAAAGGACACACGUGUGACCAAGUGGGGCAUGUUCA